AAGAGGCUCUGGCACAGAUGGUCUCUAGCAAUGAAGAGAGAGAGGGAGAGGAGGAAAAACAGCGAAUAAGUGUUCAGACGUACAGACUGGACAGAGUGUGAGGGGGAGUGAGAAACAGGAAAAGCAACAGCAAACGAGUCAGUGUGAGAAGUGAUUGGAGGGGAGAGAGGGAGGGUGAAAGUGGAGAGAGGAGGUACACAAACUCCCCAAGAACAGGAGUUCACAUGAGAGAAAGUGACCACACGCUGCAGAAGGAACAGUUGCUGAUCUGCUGAAAGAAUCAAAUUACGAACAUCCAGUGCUGCUCCUUCAGUCUUGUCUGGUGCAGGAUAACUAGAUGAAGACCCUGAAACCAGCAGACACCACAAACAACCGUAAGAAAAACUAGAAGAGGGGGAGGGUGAAAACCAGGAGGUGCACAGGUCUGUAAAACAUCCGGCGUUGUUUUAUGUAGAACAGGGUUCAGUUCCUCUUUUAGAAAACAGUUCACAAGUGGAAACACUCACAAAGUGGAGCUGCACACACUCUCUCCAGAGAGGUCACUGUGCUCCCAGCCUGUCUUGGUGUCUAUGUUCUGCUACUUAUGAACAUGUGGGAGGAGCGCAGAGGAAGGACAAAGAAGAGACUGCAGAGUAAACACAGCCAGCAGCAGAGGUGCUCCAGACCAACGCUGGCAGGUGGUUCAGAUUUUUACAGUCAGCUGGACAUACGUCUAGAAAACCAAACAAGAAUGUAUAUUGACAUGUACUCCUAUACAUCUAUAUUCAUGUACCUUUGAGGAAAUGAAAGUAGUUUGAUCUCUCCUGUAAGAGUUGAGACGGAUGUUUCAUCUCUCAAAACACUGUGCGACUGCAUGCCAACCACAAAAAAACCCUCUUCUGUAAGUGUAAGGUGGCAAACCUGUGACUGCUAUUACAAAUACACUUGCUACAACCCCAAAUCAGAAAAAGUAUGUAAAAUCAAUUUUAAAAGAGAAAGUAGUGAUGUAGUGUAUAUAUCUAGGACUGAUAAUGAGCAUGAUGCUCCAAAAAUGGCACAUUCACCCAAACGUCAACAUAGAAUGACGCCAACUUUGACUUCUCUAUAUAUGAAACACUAGGCUCGUGUUAACCAUAUUUGUUCCCAUGCUUUUUAUUACCACGCCUAGGUGCACUGAUCUGAGAUGACUGAUUGUCUUCAAGCACUCUGUUCUGUUGCUAUUUCACAGCCCUUAUCUCCUGUACAGCCUGUCUAGUAUCAGCCUGUGGGAUCUCACCCACACGUAGCUGCUCCAGUGAUGAUGACAGACCUCAGCCUUGAAAUGCCAGGCCUGAAAUAGUUUGCCUCAUUUAUAAUUAAACUGAACAUGUAGGAAGGUGCCUCCUGUGUGUGAAUACAAACGGACCCGGACUGGAGCAGUGAAUCAUUCGCAGUCUGUCUUCAAUUACACAUAACGUGCACACAUGGUUCAUCUACACACACCAGAAAUUCAUCAGUGGACUAAUUGGGGGUGCUGAUAUAUAAUGAGUGAGUACUCACAAAGUACAUAGAGUAUUUAUGGAUAAAGGAUAUAUAUACUUACCAGGCUUGAGGAGUAAUUGCAGGGUGGAAGUAUAAACUUACAGUAGUGAAGGGUGGAGCUGUGGGUAAAAAUAACUACUACAUUCAGAGCAGAUUUACAUGAGAUGGUGAAACUCUCUUGUCUUUUUCUGGUGUACUGGUGUAAGGUCCACGGAGGCCUGCUUUCUUACACAGUGCAGAUCUGCUCGUGUGAUCUGCAUCUGAGAAUCAGCAUGACAGUGAGUGAGGAGCUGCUGGAUAUUCUUCAGAAGAUUGGGACCAAACUGUUGGAUCUCCCAAAGGCCAAUCCACUGGAGCUGGGAGCCUUCUCUGUGCUCCUUUUGUUUGUUGCCACAUUUCUCUUUUUGAUCGUGCUGUCCUGUGUCCACUGCUGCUGCUGUGAAAACCCAAAACACCAGGUAUCCAGAGUUCAGCCUCUAUAAACCAACUGAGGAGAAGACAAAGAACAGAUCUUUACAAACGGUUGCCCAGAAGGAAAAUGUUUCUAUUCAGAGUCACUGAUUUUUUUUUUUUGGAGCUAAUGAAAGGCAAGUCAUAAAAGGAAGGAUGGUGACACAUUUCCAGUUCUGGGAUAAAGACUGGAUCCACAUCCAGAAAGCCAUGCUACUGGAAUCUGGAUAAAUCAGCAGAGUGGGACAACCCAUAAAGAUUCAUUACAGAGCAAGACAAUAAAACACUGGUAUCUCCGUUCAAAACACAAUGACUCUUCUAUUGAAAAUUUUGUAGUUUGGUAUCCAGUUAUUCCAACUUGUGUAUGUUCAACAGAAACUUGGUGGUGUAAAAAUAACACAGAGCGCCCUCUGCUGGUUCAGUGGAGAGAUUUGUAAUGGAAAAAGUGAGCAGUUUGUAGUUUGUACCACAGUUACAAAUGUAGUCUCAUUAUUUUAUAACAACAAAAAAGUGUUGUACUUUUUUUACUGAGGCAGUGUUCCAUUUGUGGAUGUAACUGAAGCUGCAAAGGGAAGAUGUGAUUGUUCUUACAUAUGUAAAUGUAAUAAAUGUCCCAUAUGUUUUA
Molecule: long non-coding RNA, 2575 nt
Organism: Monopterus albus (swamp eel)
Lineage: Eukaryota; Metazoa; Chordata; Actinopteri; Synbranchiformes; Synbranchidae
Exons: 3
Source: RefSeq, a predicted model, not a curated record